CCGUGGAGCUUUACUGUAGCCUGAUAUUGAAUUUUGGUACAGUUUGUACAGGAUAGGCGGGAGCCAUUGAAACCGGAGCGCUAGCUUCGGUGGAGGCGCUGGUGGGAUACCGCCCUGACUGUAUUGAAAUUCUAACCUAUGGGUCUUAUCGACCCGGGAGACAGUGUCAGGUGGGCAGUUUGACUGGGGCGGUCGCCUCCUAAAGUGUAACGGAGGCGCCCAAAGGUUCCCUCAGAAUGGUUGGAAAUCAUUCGUAGAGUGCAAAGGCAUAAGGGAGCUUGACUGCGAGACAUACAAGUCGAGCAGGGACGAAAGUCGGGCUUAGUGAUCCGGUGGUUCCGCAUGGAAGGGCCAUCGCUCAACGGAUAAAAGCUACCCCGGGGAUAACAGGCUUAUCUCCCCCAAGAGUCCACAUCGACGGGGAGGUUUGGCACCUCGAUGUCGGCUCAUCGCAUCCUGGGGCUGUAGUCGGUCCCAAGGGUUGGGCUGUUCGCCCAUUAAAGCGGUACGCGAGCUGGGUUCAGAACGUCGUGAGACAGUUCGGUCCCUAU
Molecule: ribosomal RNA, 551 nt
Filed under: Bacillus toyonensis
Lineage: Bacteria; Bacillati; Bacillota; Bacilli; Caryophanales; Bacillaceae
Description: partial 23S ribosomal RNA
Rfam family: Bacterial large subunit ribosomal RNA
Source: RNAcentral